This 515-nucleotide ribosomal RNA is filed under the name uncultured bacterium. RNAcentral describes it as "bacterial SSU rRNA". It matches the Rfam family "Bacterial small subunit ribosomal RNA", at positions 11 to 518 of the family's 1533-position model. The record is from RNAcentral.
GUUGAUCAUGGCUCAGGAUGAACGCUAGCUACAGGCUUAACACAUGCAAGUCGAGGGGCAGCAUGUGGUUGCUUGCAACCAAUGAUGGCGACCGGCGCACGGGUGAGUAACGCGUAUCCAACCUCCCCACAGUAGAGGAUAGCCCGGCGAAAGUCGGAUUAAUACUCUAUGUUGUAUUUUGAGGACAUCUGACGAAUACCAAAGGUUUACCGCUAUGGGAUGGGGAUGCGUCUGAUUAGGUAGUCGGCGGGGUAACGGCCCACCGAGCCAUCGAUCAGUAGGGGUUCUGAGAGGAAGGUCCCCCACAUUGGUACUGAGACACGGACCAAACUCCUACGGGAGGCAGCAGUGAGGAAUAUUGGUCAAUGGGCGCGAGCCUGAACCAGCCAAGUAGCGUGCAGGACGACUGCCCUAUGGGUUGUAAACUGCUUUUAUGCGGGAAUAAAGUGGCGUACGUGUACGCUUUUGUAUGUACCGCAUGAAUAAGGACCGGCUAAUUCCGUGCCAGCAGCGGC